This 240-nucleotide ribosomal RNA is filed under the name uncultured bacterium. Its description in RNAcentral is "partial 16S ribosomal RNA". It matches the Rfam family "Bacterial small subunit ribosomal RNA", at positions 15 to 235 of the family's 1533-position model. The record is from RNAcentral.
GAUCAUGGCUCAGGAUGAACGCUGGCGGCGUGCUUAACACAUGCAAGUUGAACGAAGCACUUUAUUUGAUUUCCUUCGGGACUGAUUAUUUUGUGACUAAGUGGCGGACGGGUGAGUAACGCGUGGGUAACCUGCCUUGUACAGGGGGAUAACAGUUGGAAACGGCUGCUAAUACCGCAUAAGCGCACAGCAUCGCAUGAUGCAGUGUGAAAAACUCCGGUGGUAUAAGAUGGACCCGCG